RNAcentral lists this ribosomal RNA (253 nucleotides) under uncultured bacterium. Its description in RNAcentral is "partial 16S ribosomal RNA". It matches the Rfam family "Bacterial small subunit ribosomal RNA", at positions 524 to 776 of the family's 1533-position model. The record is from RNAcentral.
UACGGAGGAUCCAAGCGUUAUCCGGAAUCAUUGGGUUUAAAGGGUCCGUAGGCGGUUUUGUAAGUCAGUGGUGAAAUCUGGUCGCUCAACGAUCAAACGGCCAUUGAUACUGCAAGACUUGAAUUAUUGUGAAGUAACUAGAAUAUGUAGUGUAGCGGUGAAAUGCUUAGAUAUUACAUGGAAUACCGAUUGCGAAGGCAGGUUACUAACAAUGGAUUGACGCUGAUGGACGAAAGCGUGGGGAGCGAACAGG